This 468-nucleotide ribosomal RNA is filed under the name uncultured bacterium. RNAcentral's name for it is "partial 16S ribosomal RNA". It matches the Rfam family "Bacterial small subunit ribosomal RNA", at positions 28 to 507 of the family's 1533-position model. The record is from RNAcentral.
GACGAACGCUGGCGGCGUGCUUAACACAUGCAAGUCGAACGGAAAGGCCCUGCUUUUGUGGGGUGCUCGAGUGGCGAACGGGUGAGUAACACGUGAGUAACCUGCCCUUGACUUUGGGAUAACUUCAGGAAACUGGGGCUAAUACCGGAUAGGAGCUCCUGCUGCAUGGUGGGGGUUGGAAAGUUUCGGCGGUUGGGGAUGGACUCGCGGCUUAUCAGCUUGUUGGUGGGGUAGUGGCUUACCAAGGCUUUGACGGGUAGCCGGCCUGAGAGGGUGGCCGGCCACAUUGGGACUGAGAUACGGCCCAAACUCCUACGGGAGGCAGCAGUGGGGAAUAUUGCACAAUGGGCGGAAGCCUGAUGCAGCAACGCCGCGUGCGGGAUGACGGCCUUCGGGUUGUAAACCGCUUUCGCCUGUGACGAAGCGUGAGUGACGGUAAUGGGUAAAGAAGCACCGGCUAACUACGUG